Molecule: ribosomal RNA, 408 nt
Filed under: uncultured Clostridia bacterium
Lineage: Bacteria; Bacillati; Bacillota; Clostridia
Description: bacterial SSU rRNA
Rfam family: Bacterial small subunit ribosomal RNA
Source: RNAcentral
GAGUUUGAUCGUGGCUCAGAACGAACGCUGGCGGCGUGCCUAACACAUGCAAGUCGAGCGGGAAAGUUCCCUUCGGGGAGCGAGUACAGCGGCGAACGGGUGAGUAACACGUAGGUAACCUACCCUGGAGACUGGGAUAACCUGCCGAAAGGCGGGCUAAUACCAGAUAAGACCACGAGGGCUGCGGCCCUUGGGGAAAAAGAUGGCCUAUGCUUGCAAGCUAUCACUCCGGGAUGGGCCUGCGCGCCAUUAGCUAGUUGGUGAGGUAACGGCUCACCAAGGCUGAGAUGGCUAGCUGGUCUGAGAGGAUGGCCAGCCACACUGGGACUGAGACACGGCCCAGACUCCUACGGGAGGCAGCAGUGGGGAAUAUUGCGCAAUGGGCGAAAGCCUGACGCAGCGACGCCG